UUAUGGCCUGAGUUCCACCGAAGACGCCAAGGACGUGGCGUCAUACCUCUGGCACAGUUUCUUGGGUGGUUCUGCUGCUCGCUACUCUCGACCCCUCGGGGAUGCGGUUCUGGAUGGCAUAGACUUCAACAUCGCCGGAGGGAGCACAGAACACUACGAUGAACUUGCCGCUUUCCUCAAGGCCUACAACGAGCAGGAGGCCGGAACGAAGAAAGUUCACUUGAGUGCUGCUCCGCAGUGUCCUUUCCCGGAUUACUGGCUUGGCAACGCACUCAGAACAGAU
Molecule: long non-coding RNA, 283 nt
Filed under: Musa acuminata (dwarf banana)
Lineage: Eukaryota; Viridiplantae; Streptophyta; Magnoliopsida; Zingiberales; Musaceae
Description: long non-coding RNA (MACU_LNC010634)
Source: RNAcentral